GUACAUAUGGGAAUUUCUUCAUUCUACUCCUAUCUAUGAAAAACAAAAUUUCACAGAGGGGUCAUUACAGAAUACAAAAGGAAAAGCAUAGGGGUUGUUGGGGUUGUUGUCCAUCUGUUUUGUUGCCUUGGGCUAUUCUCAGAUCCAAGAUUUUCAGAGAGAAAAACAGCCCUGAGUCCUAUGGAUGAAAGCAGUGAUUCACGAAUUUACAUGGGCAUGAAGAAUCAUCUAGGUCCUUCCUCCUUAAAUACAAAAGCAAGAAAACCCUGCAGACUGCAAAUUCCCAGACCCCUUCCCUGGAGAUACUGAUGUAGAUCCAGGAAUUUGUCUUUUUUUCUUUUUUAAAUUAGGACCCAGGUGAUUCUGAGAAAGGCCUGCAGAUCAUGCUCUGAGAAACCCUAGAAUGAAGAUGAGCUGUUUAAGCUAUUCUCAGUCACGUGUUGAGCUGUCAUCUGGAGCGAUUUCUGUUUAAGCUCAGAAAGAAACCCAUGAGGAAUAAAAAAAGUCCUUCUGUGAG
This 517-nucleotide long non-coding RNA is filed under the name Equus caballus (horse). Its description in RNAcentral is "lncRNA (ENSECAG00000054993.1)". Lineage: Eukaryota; Metazoa; Chordata; Mammalia; Perissodactyla; Equidae. The record is from RNAcentral.